This is a long non-coding RNA of Orcinus orca (killer whale), 229 nucleotides long. RefSeq lists it as uncharacterized. The transcript is spliced from 3 exons. The record is from RefSeq and is a predicted model, not a curated record. Lineage: Eukaryota; Metazoa; Chordata; Mammalia; Artiodactyla; Delphinidae.
AUGCCCUCUUUAUACCAGACAUUGUGCUUUAAGACUCAGCUCUGGCCCUUAAGAAGCUUGAGGAGACAGGACAUGCACAUGCAAAGGCCUGUCCAGCACUCCGACCUUUGGAGGUAUCCAUUGCCCCAGUGUCUGAGUCUUUCUGGAAUUCUGAGACUGAUUGUUUCUCCUGACUGAAUUCAGCUCAGAUGCUUCAAACAAAGGGACGACUUACAGAGAUACAGUCAAG